UGCUGGCUUGGGAACACUUCCAGGAUAUGGAUCUUUAGGGGGCAUUGGCUAUCUUGGAGCACGACCAGGUUAUGCUGGUGGAGCGGGAAACUACAUGGGAGCAAGCCUGGGCGCUUUGGGUUAUGGAG
Molecule: long non-coding RNA, 128 nt
Organism: Pundamilia nyererei
Lineage: Eukaryota; Metazoa; Chordata; Actinopteri; Cichliformes; Cichlidae
Exons: 3
Source: RefSeq, a predicted model, not a curated record